Molecule: ribosomal RNA, 383 nt
Filed under: uncultured eukaryote
Lineage: Eukaryota
Description: partial 18S ribosomal RNA
Rfam family: Eukaryotic small subunit ribosomal RNA
Source: RNAcentral
CAAUAGCGUAUAUUAAAGUUGAUGCAGUUAAAAAGCUCGUAGUUGGAUUUCUGGUGGGAGCGAUCGGUCUGGCGCUUAGCGCGAGUACUUGCAUCGUCUCCGGCCACCCUUGGGGAGAGUCUGUCUGGCAUUAGGUUGUCGGGCAGAGGAUCCUCAUCGUUUACUGUGAAAAAAUUAGAGUGUUCAAAGCAGGCUUAUGCCGUUGAAUAUAUUAGCAUGGAAUAAUAAGAUAGGACUUUGGUACUAUUUUGUUGGUUUGCGCACCAAAGUAAUGAUUAAUAGGGACAGUUGGGGGUAUUCGUAUUCCGUUGUCAGAGGUGAAAUUCUUGGAUUUACGGAAGACGAACUACUGCGAAAGCAUUUACCAAGGAUGUUUUCAUUAA